This 497-nucleotide ribosomal RNA is filed under the name uncultured bacterium. RNAcentral describes it as "partial 16S ribosomal RNA". It matches the Rfam family "Bacterial small subunit ribosomal RNA", at positions 28 to 507 of the family's 1533-position model. The record is from RNAcentral.
GAUGAACGCUGGCGGCGUGCCUAAUACAUGCAAGUCGAGCGAACAGACGAGGAGCUUGCUCCUCUGACGUUAGCGGCGGACGGGUGAGUAACACGUGGAUAACCUACCUAUAAGACUGGGAUAACUUCGGGAAACCGGAGCUAAUACCGGAUAAUAUAUUGAACCGCAUGGUUCAAUAGUGAAAGACGGUUUUGCUGUCACUUAUAGAUGGAUCCGCGCCGCAUUAGCUAGUUGGUAAGGUAACGGCUUACCAAGGCGACGAUGCGUAGCCGACCUGAGAGGGUGAUCGGCGACACUGGAACUGAGACACGGUCCAGACGCCUAAGGGAGGCAGCAGUAGGGAAUGUUCCGCAGUGGGCGAGAGCCUGACGGAGCAACGCCGCGUGAGUGAUGAAGGUCUUCGGAUCGUAAAACUCUGUUAUUAGGGAAGAACAAAUGUGUAAGUAACUAUGCACGUCUUGACGGUACCUAAUCAGAAAGCAACGGCUAACUACGUG